RNAcentral lists this ribosomal RNA (406 nucleotides) under uncultured bacterium. Its description in RNAcentral is "partial 16S ribosomal RNA". It matches the Rfam family "Bacterial small subunit ribosomal RNA", at positions 30 to 526 of the family's 1533-position model. The record is from RNAcentral.
AUUGAACGCUGGCUGCAGGCCUAACACAUGCAAGUCGAACGAGUGGCGGACGGGUGAGUACUGUCUGGGAAACUGCCUGAUGGAGGGGGAUAACUACUGGAAACGGUAGCUAAUACCGCAUACCCUCAGAUGUGCCCAGAUGGGAUGAGCUUGUUGGUGGGGUAACGGCUCACCAAUGCGACGAUCCCUAGCGGGUCUUAGAGGAUGACCAGCCACACUGGAAGUGAGACACGGUCCAGACUCCUACGGGAGGAAGCAGUGGGGAAUAUUGCACAAGGGGCGCAAGCCUGAUGCAGCCAUGCCGCGUGUAUGAAGAAGGCCUUCGGGUUGUAAAGUACUUUCAGCGGGGAGGCGUUACCCGCAGAAGAAGCACCGGCUAACUCCGUGCCAGCCGCCGCGGUAAUAC